GCCUGGGUGGCUCAGUCGGUUAAGCAUCUGACUUCGGCUCAGGUCGUGAUCUCACGGUUCAUGGGUUUGAGCCCCACCUCAGGCU
Molecule: transfer RNA, 85 nt
Filed under: Felis catus (domestic cat)
Lineage: Eukaryota; Metazoa; Chordata; Mammalia; Carnivora; Felidae
Rfam family: tRNA
About the family: Transfer RNA (tRNA) molecules are approximately 80 nucleotides in length. Their secondary structure includes four short double-helical elements and three loops (D, anti-codon, and T loops).
Source: Rfam by way of RNAcentral